GUAGGGGGCAAGCGUUGUCCGGAAUUAUUGGGCGUAAAGAGCUCGUAGGCGGUUCGGCAAGUCGGAUGUGAAAUCUCCACGCUUAACGUGGAGGGGCCAUUCGAAACUGCUGUGACUCGAGUCCGGUAGGGGAGUGUGGAAUUCCCGGUGUAGCGGUGAAAUGCGCAGAUAUCGGGAGGAACACCAGUAGCGAAGGCGGCACUCUGGGCCGGUACUGACGCUGAGGAGCGAAAGCGUGGGGAGCGAACAGGAUUAGAUACCCUGGUAGUCCACGCCGUAAACGUUGGGCACUAGGUGUGGGACUCUAUCGACGGGUUCCGUGCCGUAGCUAACGCAUUAAGUGCCCCGCCUGGGGAGUACGGCCGCAAGGCUA
RNAcentral lists this ribosomal RNA (373 nucleotides) under uncultured bacterium. Its description in RNAcentral is "bacterial SSU rRNA". It matches the Rfam family "Bacterial small subunit ribosomal RNA", at positions 527 to 896 of the family's 1533-position model. The record is from RNAcentral.